UAAUAAAACAAGCAAAUAUACAUCUCAAUGGCAGAUUAAGGCUUUUCUUGUAGCUAAGCCUAAUUAAAAUGGCAACAUUCCAAUGGUUUCUUUACCAGGGAGCAAGGACAUCUGCAAGGGAUAAAAAGAUAGCAAGCAUUUUGAUGCAUUUGUUUCCAGUGUUUAAAUGUGGCAACAGAAAACAGGGAUUGAUACUGGCUAAGUUACAAGCAACAUUUGAGUUAAAUGUUUUAAAAGAGUACAGGAAAUCAAAGCAGUUAAAUAAAUUAAUUUUCUUUUUCAAAUGUCGAAAUGAACAUGAUGCAUAUAUUUUCUUCUAAUUUCAUCAUUUUAAAAAUCCCAAGGAUUUUAAAACUGUGAGAGAAAGAUAGGAAAACACUGCCAGGGGCAUUUUCCUUGCAAGCAAAUAUUUCAGAUGAACAAACUUCACUUAGUAUAUUUGCAGAAACUUCUAUUUUACACACCAUUCCCUGAAAAUAAAAAUAAAACUCAGCCUU
This 497-nucleotide long non-coding RNA is filed under the name Pan troglodytes (chimpanzee). RNAcentral describes it as "long non-coding RNA NONPTRT000331". Lineage: Eukaryota; Metazoa; Chordata; Mammalia; Primates; Hominidae. The record is from RNAcentral.